Molecule: ribosomal RNA, 420 nt
Filed under: uncultured bacterium
Lineage: Bacteria
Description: partial 16S ribosomal RNA
Rfam family: Bacterial small subunit ribosomal RNA
Source: RNAcentral
AUAUUGGACAAUGGGGGCAACCCUGAUCCAGCCAUGCCGCGUGUGUGAAGAAUGUCUUCGGAUUGUAAAGCACUUUAAGUUGUUAGGAAUGUCUUUCGGUUAAUACCCUGAAGUUUUGACGUUACCAACAGAAUAAGCACCGGCUCACUCUGUUCCAGCAGCCGAGGUAAUACAGAGGGUGCAAGCGUUAAUCGGACUUACUGGGCGUAAAGCGCGCGUAGGUGGUUCAGUAAGAUGGGUGUGAAAUCCCCGGGCUUAACCUGGGAACUGCUUUCAUAACUGCUGAGCUAGAGUACGGUAGAGGGUAGUGGAAUUUCCUGUGUAGCGGUGAAAUGCGUAGAUAUAGGAAGGAACACCAGUGGCGAAGGCGACUACCUGGACUGAUACUGACACUGAGGUGCGAAAGCGUGGGGAGCAAAC